AUCUCUUCGGAGACAUCUGAUAAAAUUGGAACAAAAAAUAGAGGACUAGCAAGGCCACUGCACGAGGAUGGCAUGCUCAAAUCAAGAAAAAGUUUAUAUGUUG
Small nuclear RNA from Elaeis guineensis (African oil palm), 103 nucleotides. The record is from RefSeq and is a predicted model, not a curated record. NCBI's taxonomy places the organism in Eukaryota, Viridiplantae, Streptophyta, Magnoliopsida, Arecales, Arecaceae.